This 417-nucleotide ribosomal RNA is filed under the name uncultured bacterium. RNAcentral's name for it is "bacterial SSU rRNA". It matches the Rfam family "Bacterial small subunit ribosomal RNA", at positions 917 to 1333 of the family's 1533-position model. The record is from RNAcentral.
GGACCCGCACAAGUAGUGGAGCAUGUGGUUUAAUUCGAAGAUACGCGCAGAACCUUACCAACACUUGACAUGUUUGUCGCGACUUUAAGAGAUUAAAGUCUUCGGUUCGGCCGGACAAAACACAGGUGCUGCAUGGCUGUCGUCAGCUCGUGUCGUGAGAUGUUGGGUUAAGUCCCGCAACGAGCGCAACCCUCACUUUUAGUUGCCACCAUUUAGUUGGGCACUCUGAAAGAACUGCCAGUGAUAAGCUGGAGGAAGGUGGGGAUGACGUCAAGUCCUCAUGGCCCUUACGUGUUGGGCUACACACGUGCUACAAUGGCAUUUACAAUAGGAAGCAAAAUGGCGACAUUGAGCAAAUCCUAAAAAAUGCCUCAGUUCGGAUUGUACUCUGCAACUCGAGUACAUGAAGCUGGAAUU